RNAcentral lists this antisense RNA (69 nucleotides) under Actinoplanes derwentensis. RNAcentral describes it as "ASpks TB sRNA". It matches the Rfam family "ASpks TB sRNA". Lineage: Bacteria; Bacillati; Actinomycetota; Actinomycetes; Micromonosporales; Micromonosporaceae. The record is from Rfam by way of RNAcentral.
CUUGAUCGAGCCCAACUUCAAAGGCCGAUCACGAUCGCGGCCGUACGUGGCCAACAGCGCCUGUGCCUC